UAUAACACAGCACACAAUCCCAACAACACCCAAACAAUGGCUCGAGGUCAAGGAGGGAGCUUAAAGACUAACCACCUCAGGGCGGUGACUCCUGCUUCUGCCUCGUCUGGUGUCAUUGGGUCACAACGUGGGAGGCCAAGCAUUAGGACGCGCGCCAAAAAGCAAUGCUCUGAAGGUGACAAAGCCCACUGUGGACAAAGUGAAAGCAGCUGUGGAAUACUUCCACAGGAGCACAGCAGGUGCUGAAAAACUAGUCUACACAACACCAGAUGAGCUGAGGCCUAAACAAGACUGCACUACAAGGUGUAAUUUAACAUUUUAGAUGUUGAAGCGGUUUCUUGAGUCAAAGGAUGCCAUCAUCUCUACCCUGGCCAUUGUCAAUGCACCUGUUGAUGCUCUGACCUAAGAGAAAUGGGAGGUGGUGGAGGAGGUGUGCAGAGUCCUGGAACCCUUUGAGCAGGUCACUGUGGAGAUCAGUGGAGAGAGCCUCAAAAAUGAUACUCCUGUGUAAGGGUCUGCAGCGAAUCACAGCCAGCCACCAGAGAGAAGCAAAUGUAACCACAGGACAUGUGACAGAGUUGAUGGAUACCCUGUGUUCAUCAAUGGACAGAAAGUUCCACAGAAUGGAAUAUAAUCACGUGCUAUCAGAAACCGCUGCACUUGACCCCAGGUUUAAGAAGUUAGCCUUCAGUGAUACAAGAGCAAUUGAUGAGGCUCUUCAAAAAAUAGCCUCAGCAGCAGGGAGGGACAGCCCCAGCAGUCAGCUGGCUCAGGCACCAGGAAGAAGAGGGAGCAGAAGCACCAGCAGUAGUGCCACAAAUGUCUGCUGUUUGACGAGAGAGCAAC
Oncorhynchus tshawytscha (Chinook salmon) is the source of this 846-nucleotide long non-coding RNA. The record is from Ensembl. Lineage: Eukaryota; Metazoa; Chordata; Actinopteri; Salmoniformes; Salmonidae.